RNAcentral lists this unclassified non-coding RNA (435 nucleotides) under Papiliotrema flavescens. Its description in RNAcentral is "sequence contains 18S rRNA gene, ITS1, 5.8S rRNA gene and ITS2". The stretch from base 109 to 262 matches the Rfam family "5.8S ribosomal RNA". The record is from RNAcentral. Lineage: Eukaryota; Fungi; Basidiomycota; Tremellomycetes; Tremellales; Rhynchogastremaceae.
GAUUGGUCGAAAGACCUUAUCAGAUUCUACCACCUCUGUGAACCGUUGACCUCCGGGUUAAUAAUCAAACAUCAGUGUAACGAACGUAAGAGUAUCUUAAUUAAACAAAACUUUUAACAACGGAUCUCUUGGCUCUCGCAUCGAUGAAGAACGCAGCGAAAUGCGAUAAGUAAUGUGAAUUGCAGAAUUCAGUGAAUCAUCGAAUCUUUGAACGCACCUUGCGCCUUUUGGUAUUCCGAAAGGCAUGCCUGUUUCAGUGUCAUGAAAUCUCAAUCUAAUAUGUUUUCUGAACAUGUUAGGCUUGGACUUGGGUGUCUGCCAGCAAUGGCUCACCUCAAAUGACUUAGUGGAACAUCCCACAUCAGUGUUAGACGUAAUAAGUUUCGUCUCUCCUUGUGGUGAUGACUGCUCAAAACCUGCCAUCGCGCACCUUUU